AUGUACAUGGGCUACUACAACCAGUUCGACGGCGGCAUCCCGGCAGAGUUCGGGGACCUGGAGGCGCUCGUGCUGCUCGACAUGAGCAGCUGCUGCCUCACAGGCCCCAUACCGCCAGAGCUCGGCCAGCUUAAGCUGCUCAACACGCUCUAUAUGUUUCUGAACUGGCUGUCUGGGGAUAUACCGCCGGCACUGGGUGAGCUGAAGAAUCUUGCAUCGCUGGACCUCUCUAUGAACGAGCUCGCCGGCAAAAUACCAGCGAGUCUGGCACAGCUUACAAACCUGAAGCUUCUUAACCUUUUUGGGAACUACCUCCAUGGCGUAAUACCGGAGUUCGUCGCCGACCUGCUGAACCUUGAGGUGCUGCAGCUCUGGGACAACAAUUUCUCCGGUCAUCUCCCAGCUGGACUUGGCAAGAACGGCCGUCUCAAGAAGCUGAACGUGGGCAACAACAAUCUCUCCGGUCAUCUCCCAGCCGGGCUUCGCAAUUACAGUCUCAAGACGCUGGACGUGUCCUACAACCACCUCACCGGUCAUCUCCCACCAGACAUCUGCACAAGCGGGAACUUGGAGAAGCUAGUGCUCAUGGAGAAUGUCUUCUUUGGACCCAUCCCCGUGUCGCUCGGCGACUGCAAAAUGCUCCGGCAUGUCUACCUGAAUAACAACUUUCUCAGCGGUCCAAUCCCUUGA
This 690-nucleotide ribosomal RNA is filed under the name Triticum aestivum (bread wheat). Its description in RNAcentral is "partial small subunit ribosomal RNA". The record is from RNAcentral. Lineage: Eukaryota; Viridiplantae; Streptophyta; Magnoliopsida; Poales; Poaceae.